RNAcentral lists this ribosomal RNA (720 nucleotides) under uncultured bacterium. RNAcentral describes it as "bacterial SSU rRNA". It matches the Rfam family "Bacterial small subunit ribosomal RNA", at positions 37 to 739 of the family's 1533-position model. The record is from RNAcentral.
UGGCGGCGUGCCUAAUACAUGCAAGUCGAGCGAACGGACGAGAAGCUUGCUUCUCCGAUGUUAGCGGCGGACGGGUGAGUAACACGUGGAUAACCUACCUAUAAGACUGGGAUAACUUCGGGAAACCGGAGCUAAUACCGGAUAAUAUUUUGAACCGCAUGGUUCAAAAGUGAAAGACGGUCUUGCUGUCACUUAUAGAUGGAUCCGCGCUGCAUUAGCUAGUUGGUAAGGUAACGGCUUACCAAGGCAACGAUGCAUAGCCGACCUGAGAGGGUGAUCGGCCACACUGGAACUGAGACACGGUCCAGACUCCUACGGGAGGCAGCAGUAGGGGAUCUUCCGCAAUGGGCGAAAGCCUGACGGAGCAACGCCGCGUGAGUGAUGAAGGUCUUCGGAUCGUAAAACUCUGUUAUUAGGGAAGAACAUAUGUGUAAGUAACUGUGCACAUCUUGACGGUACCUAAUCAGAAAGCCACGGCUAACUACGUGCCAGCAGCCGCGGUAAUACGUAGGUGGCAAGCGUUAUCCGGAAUUAUUGGGCGUAAAGCGCGCGUAGGCGGUUUUUUAAGUCUGAUGUGAAAGCCCACGGCUCAACCGUGGAGGGUCAUUGGAAACUGGAAAACUUGAGUGCAGAAGAGGAAAGUGGAAUUCCAUGUGUAGCGGUGAAAUGCGCAGAGAUAUGGAGGAACACCAGAGGCGAAGGCGACUUUCUGGUCUGUAA